UACGUAGGGUGCAAGCGUUGUCCGGAAUUAUUGGGCGUAAAGGGCGCGUAGGCGGGGAGGUAAGUCGGGGGUGAAAGUUUUCGGCUCAACCGGAAAAGGGCCUUUGAUACGGGUCGUCUCGAGGGAGGUAGGGGCAUGCGGAACUUCCGGUGGAGCGGUGAAAUGCGUAGAUAUCGGAAGGAACGCCGGUGGCGAAAGCGGCGUGCUGGACCUCUUCUGACGCUGAGGCGCGAAAGCUAGGGGAGCAAACGGG
Molecule: ribosomal RNA, 253 nt
Filed under: uncultured bacterium
Lineage: Bacteria
Description: partial 16S ribosomal RNA
Rfam family: Bacterial small subunit ribosomal RNA
Source: RNAcentral